Molecule: ribosomal RNA, 200 nt
Filed under: uncultured bacterium
Lineage: Bacteria
Description: partial 16S ribosomal RNA
Rfam family: Bacterial small subunit ribosomal RNA
Source: RNAcentral
AACGAACGCUGGCGGCAGGCUUAACACAUGCAAGUCGAACGAGACCUUCGGGUCUAGUGGCGCACGGGUGCGUAACGCGUGGGAAUCUGCCCUUGGGUUCGGAAUAACAGUGAGAAAUUACUGCUAAUACCGGAUGAUGACGAAAGUCCAAAGAUUUAUCGCCCAAGGAUGAGCCCGCGUAGGAUUAGCUAGUUGGUAAG